RNAcentral lists this ribosomal RNA (459 nucleotides) under uncultured bacterium. RNAcentral's name for it is "partial 16S ribosomal RNA". It matches the Rfam family "Bacterial small subunit ribosomal RNA", at positions 338 to 795 of the family's 1533-position model. The record is from RNAcentral.
CCUACGGGAGGCAGCAGUGAGGAAUAUUGGUCAAUGGCCGAGAGGCUGAACCAGCCAAGUCGCGUGAGGGAAGACGGCCCUACGGGUUGUAAACCUCUUUUGUCGGGGAGCAAAGCGAGUCACGUGUGACUCAUUGCGUGUACCCGAAGAAAAAGCAUCGGCUAACUCCGUGCCAGCAGCCGCGGUAAUACGGAGGAUGGGAGCGUUAUCCGGAUUUAUUGGGUUUAAAGGGUGCGCAGGCGGAGGUGCAAGUCAGCGGGAAAAUUGCGGGGCUCAACCCCGUACUGCCGUUGAAACUGCAUCCCUUGAGUGCGCGAGAAGUAUGCGGAAUGCGUGGUGUAGCGGUGAAAUGCAUAGAUAUCACGCAGAACUCCGAUUGCGAAGGCAGCAUACCGGCGCGCAACUGACGCUCAUGCACGAAAGCGUGGGUAUCGAACAGGAUUAGAUACCCCUGUAGUC